RNAcentral lists this ribosomal RNA (932 nucleotides) under uncultured bacterium. RNAcentral describes it as "bacterial SSU rRNA". It matches the Rfam family "Bacterial small subunit ribosomal RNA", at positions 370 to 1307 of the family's 1533-position model. The record is from RNAcentral.
AANNGGCGCAGCCCNGACCAGCCAUGCCGCGNNGCAGGAUGACGGUCCUAUGGAUUGUAAACUGCUUUUAUACGAGAAGAAACACUCCCUCGUGAGGGAGCUUGACGGUAUCGUAAGAAUAAGGAUCGGCUAACUCCGUGCCAGCAGCCGCGGUAAUACGGAGGAUCCAAGCGUUAUCCGGAAUCAUUGGGUUUAAAGGGUCCGUAGGCGGUUAGAUAAGUCAGUGGUGAAAGCCCAUCGCUCAACGGUGGAACGGCCAUUGAUACUGUUUGACUUGAAUUAUUAGGAAGUAACUAGAAUAUGUAGCGUAGCGGUGAAAUGCUUAGAGAUUACAUGGAAUACCAAUUGCGAAGGCAGGUUACUACUAAUUGAUUGACGCUGAUGGACGAAAGCGUGGGUAGCGAACAGGAUUAGAUACCCUGGUAGUCCACGCCGUAAACGAUGGAUACUAGCUGUUGGGAGUAAUUUCAGUGGCUAAGCGAAAGUGAUAAGUAUCCCACCUGGGGAGUACGAACGCAAGUUUGAAACUCAAAGGAAUUGACGGGGGCCCGCACAAGCGGUGGAGCAUGUGGUUUAAUUCGAUGAUACGCGAGGAACCUUACCAAGGCUUAAAUGUAGAUUGACCGAUUAGGAAACUAGUCUUUCGCAAGACAGUUUACAAGGUGCUGCAUGGUUGUCGUCAGCUCGUGCCGUGAGGUGUCAGGUUAAGUCCUAUAACGAGCGCAACCCCUGUUGUUAGUUGCCAUCGAGUCAAGUCGGGAACUCUAACAAGACUGCCAGUGCAAACUGUGAGGAAGGUGGGGAUGACGUCAAAUCAUCACGGCCCUUACGCCUUGGGCUACACACGUGCUACAAUGGACGGUACAGAGAGCAGCCACUACGUGAGUAGGAGCGAAUCUAUNAAAACCGUUCUCAGUUCGGAUCGGANUCUG